UUUCAUAAAAUUUAUAUUCUUAUUGUGCAUUAGAAAUAGGGUCCUUAACACUAAUAGACAACAAUUAGAAAGUAAUUACACUAUUAGUGCAUCUACAAAAUAAUUACAAAAAUAACGCAAUUCACAUUAAUAAGGAAACCUAAAAUCAAAGAGAAUUAACUGCCAUAAUUACUAAUUCAAAUUCAAAUAUCUGGGAUCUAAC
RNAcentral lists this long non-coding RNA (202 nucleotides) under Panax ginseng (ginseng). RNAcentral describes it as "long non-coding RNA (PGIN_LNC008481)". Lineage: Eukaryota; Viridiplantae; Streptophyta; Magnoliopsida; Apiales; Araliaceae. The record is from RNAcentral.